Molecule: long non-coding RNA, 3233 nt
Organism: Onychostoma macrolepis
Lineage: Eukaryota; Metazoa; Chordata; Actinopteri; Cypriniformes; Cyprinidae
Exons: 4
Source: RefSeq, a predicted model, not a curated record
GCACGUGGGAAUUCAAGGGAAUGAGGAAGCAGACAAAGUGGCAAAAGAAUCAUUAAAAAUGAAAGAACCAAACAUAAACAUAUCACUCAAUAGAGCAGAAGGUAAACAGUUAGUUUUAGAAGCGUGCAAUAGGAAAUGGCAGACAGAAUGGGAUGCAUGUCAUAAGGGGCGGUAUUUUUAUAGGAUUCAAAAAACGGUAAAGAAAAGCAAAAUAAGUUUCAAUUUAAGUAGAAGAGAACAAAUUAUUUUUACACAUUUACGAACAGGACAUUCAAAUUUAAAUUACACUUUACACAUUAUAGGGAAGCACAACACAGGCUUAUGUGAGGUUUGUUUGUUAGAUGAGACGGUAGAACAUGUUUUUAAGGAAUGUAAAGCAUAUGAAGAAGAAAGGAGGAUUCUUAAGGAAGAGCAGUAGGGUGCCGGGAAUUCAAUAUAACGAAUAUAUUAAAUGAUAGUCCAAAUUCAAGGAAACAAAUAAAUGUAGUCAAAAAAUUAAUCAAGAAUUGUGGGUUAUAUUAUAGGAUAUAGAAAUUAGAUAAUUCUCUUCACACUCCAUCACAGUAGGUGGCGGUAUGCACCUUUGAAGUUGGUUCGCAACCCGCCAUAAAACCAAAAGAAGAAGAAGAAGAGUGACCUCUGGUGGAGGGUGAAUGGAAGUUCAUGGACAGGAUUCGUGACAGAGGCACAUUGGCUAACACAGAUCAAGCAGCAAGCAGCAUGGGAGAGACUCCAGCAACAAACGGCACACAGACAGAGACUCCGGCAUCAGAGUCAACACCUCCGCUCCUCCCUGAGUCUGAAACUCUUUUACUUACUCUGCAUCUUCCUCCUUAACUUCUCCUAUUUCUUUCACAACCUCCUUGUCCUCACCUAUGUCGUUAUCCGUGGCUCCUCAAGUCUCCCCGUGACUCAGCCUGUUUUCAAGUCCUCUGCCACCAGCCUCUACCCUUUCUGCCGCUUCUAGACUCACUCCUGUGUCCACUGCGGUCCAGACUCAGGAAAAAAAGACAAAUAAAGAGGAAAGCAGAACCUAGAGAAUUCAUAAAGACUCCACCAGUUUCCCCUACCAAAAUACAUUUUUGAAAAGAAUCAGCCCACAGCCAAGACGCUGAUGCAGAUAAGAACACCAGGAAGACGGUGAUGAAAUACCAGAACCAUACUUCUUGUAAAAUGAUGCUCCAUACCAAGCCAACAAGCCCCUGGGCUUCGAGCAUCAUGAUGCUAUUGUCAAAUUUAUAUUUCUGCAUUUUUAUAUAGCAACUGCUUGUCUGAACAAUUGAACAUAUUGAGUGUUUAGGAAAUCCUUCUGAAACAUUAUGAAAUAGCCUACAUUAUUCACGAAAUUUGUUGCUGAUUGUGUAUUACAGAAAUGACAUACUUGAAAUUAUUCCUUGAGUUUCUUACAUUUACAUUUAUAUAGACAUAAAACAAAAAAAAAAAAGUCUUGCAUUUAGCUUCAUUAAACCUUUUAUUGCCGUGGUCACUGGUUUAUUAUUAUUAUUAUUAUUAAUUAUAUAUAUUGAAAUUCCAAGAGUUCAAGUGGUGGAGAAUAGCAUGAAUAAGUGAUUAAAUUUAUAUAUGCUCUACAUACACAAUAAAGUAAAUGUUAGAAGCACGUAGCAGGUGCAUAUUAAGUGACUGCUGUAGGCCAUUGCUUAGGACAACAAUGUUUCUCUUUUAAAUAUAUUUAUGCAUCAGGUUAACCACACAAAGGAGACUGUCGUUGUAAAAUAUGAGUUGUGUUGUUUAAGUAGAAGUACUUGUUCAACUGCCCAUGUGGAUGAAAACAUCUGACGUAAUUUACCAUACAAGUGUGGAGCCGCGCUCGCUGUGAUUGGACAAUCUUUUAAACGAUAUAAAACAGCGUUCCAUGUUCCAACGUGUGUUUUGAUGCUAUUAUUAGGUUAGCAAUACAUUAAGUUAACGAUAAAGUGAUGCAAUGUUGUGAGAAAUGACGUCUUUUCAGAGAUCUUAACCCUACUCUCGGCCUUACUACACACUUCAAUGAACUACAAAUAACAGCGCCAUGUUUUCCCGUUCCAUUGAUAGAAUAACAGAAUCUUAUGGGUAAUGUAGUUUAAAACAUUUAGUAUAUAAACAAUAUAAUUACUAUCUUUAAUGGACAAUUGGAUAUCUAAGUAUAUUCAUUAUGAAAACCUCUAUGACGUAUCUGAGAGGCAGGCUGAAGUUUGGUAUAUUACUGUGAGCAUUUUAAAAAGCACCUUUAAGCCAUCUUUCCAUAUAUGUCUGAAAAUUGUGCCCAACAUUAUUUAGUAAACACAGCGUAAGCAAUUAUCCUGUCAAUUUUUUCUUUGAUAUUCUUACAGGACUUUGAGUUAUGACCAUUUGAAAUGUGUAUUUUUUUCACAUGUGUGCAUGUCUUAGACAUAAAUAUGAAUCAACACAGUUUAUUGUCCGAGUAUUUUCUCUUGUUCCCCUUUUAUAUUCUUACAUUAUGCUUGUGUUAGUUUUGAUGGGUGUCACAAGAACAAAUAUUUGACAGUAAUAAUAAUAAUAUUUUCUUUGCUUUUUGAUGAACACCAAUAAAUAUAAUGGAUGGACUGCGACAACUUGCAUUUCUAGUGUUGACACUGACAGAAAGACAACUUCACUAUGACAACAUAAUGCAACUAUAAAAUCAGUGCCGCAUUUUCAUCUUCACCCCCUUCACUCCUCAUGUGCUGGACAUCAGUGAUGUGCGUGCUCUAGUUUUUAAUGCAGUAUAUGUUCCAUGUUGUUCAUUCAUUGGUGAGUGACAAAUCGGCUUGUUUGUCAAUUUGAAUUUGCGUAACAGUUCCACGUCAUCAAAUGGUCCCACGACACCCAUCAAAGCCUAAUGAUGAAAAAGCAUGUAAAGUGUAAAGUCGUGUUAUUUAUGAGACCGGGUUGGUUUGAUGCCCAUAACGUAGGGAAUACAAAUAUAGCAUUUUUUUUUUUCUGUGAUGGAUAGGUUUAGGAGAAGCAUAGUGUAUAUAUUAUGUAUUAUAUUUUAUUUUGACUUUUUUAAUGACUUGAUAUUACAAAUGAAAUGUUAAAAAAAAAAAGUUUGUCUUUGUGGGGCCCAACAACAUUAAAAUGUUCUCAUUUUACUAUCUUUGUGAGGACAUUCCUUACAAUGUAGGAAAAACAAGUUUGCUCUCACACACACACACAAAUGCAAAAUACAUAAUAAUAACAGUAUUCUACAAAUUCUGUAUUUAUAUAUAUAUAUAUAUAUAUUUCUUAUUGUU